Long non-coding RNA from Ictalurus punctatus (channel catfish), 477 nucleotides. RefSeq lists it as uncharacterized. NCBI's taxonomy places the organism in Eukaryota, Metazoa, Chordata, Actinopteri, Siluriformes, Ictaluridae. The record is from RefSeq and is a predicted model, not a curated record. The transcript has 2 exons.
CCUUACUGGAAAUGACGUCAUAUUAUCCGAAGCCUCUCAGCUCGAAAAACAAUGGUGGACAUACUCUCAGCCAACGUUUGUUUACAAAUUAACCACUCGAUCCUGGGCAGGGUCGUAGUGCAUUCGUAGCCUGUCUGUGGAACACUGGGUGUGAGGCAAAUACACCCUGGAUGGGACGCUCUCUCGAGCACAUAUUCACACCUACAAACAAUUGUUGUGUGCACAACGUUUUGGGGAGGUGGAGGGAAACCAGAGAACCCCCAGAAAACCUUCAUGGACAUCAGGAGAACAUGCAAAAGUCAGCGCUGACAGUAACCUGAGCUUAGGAUCGAACCAAGGACAAUGGAGUUGUGAGGCAGCAACUUGAACUGUUGCCCCUAAACCAUGAAUUAUUUAAAUACGUAUAUACGUGUGUGUGUGUGUAUAUGUGUGUGUGUGUGUGUACAUUAAUCAAAUAAAAGUGAUGUUUUUUUCAAA